CUGGGGGUAGGGGGCGGGGGCUUAAGUUAAUAGGGACACGCAUGGCCCCCAGGAGGAGAGAUGCAUCUUCCCUCCCUGAAGUCUCCACUCCUGGCCUUAGCCCUCUAUGCCACCAGUCCGUUCCCUUGCACCUCAGACCCAAAGUCUCCUCUUGCCGGGGAAACGCGCUGCCCUCUGUGACCCGGCCCAGGAGAGCCCCUCGGGGGGAAGGGAAGAGAGAGGCAGCGUUCUUGGGGCCAGCCCCAAGUCCGUCAGUCCCAUGGCAGGAGAGACAGGAUGUACACUCUCUGUCGCUCCCACCCCAGGUGCUUACCCUCCACUUCCAGUAGAGCCAGGGACUGGGCGGGCCCCGCCUGGAAGCGGACUUCACCGGCGUCCUCGGCGCGCAGCUCGCUAAGCACCAGAAUGUGUUUCUUCCCUGGGGGUGAGGGGGUCGCUAGCGAGGCCGGAGCCACCUCUGAGGAGCGUUGGGGACGAAGAAGCACGCGCGGUCAUCAGGGUCCGGGGAAGACAGCUCCGCA
This 521-nucleotide long non-coding RNA is filed under the name Homo sapiens (human). RNAcentral describes it as "HSALNT0047511". The record is from RNAcentral. Lineage: Eukaryota; Metazoa; Chordata; Mammalia; Primates; Hominidae.